AUAAAACUUUUAAGAGAAACUUUUAAGGAAUUAUUGGAAUUUUCUCCUGAAGGUUUUGCAAAUUUUCAGAAAUUUGGGGAAUUUUUUUGCUGAAUUUUUGGAUUUUUUUCAGACAAAGAAACCCAUAAGUGAAGACAACAGGAGGGUUAAUGAAGAUAAGUACGUUGAUUUUCUGGAUAAAGAGGCUGAAUUCUAACUAAUUCUGCUGGAAAACCUUAAUUAAAUAUGAAAGGAUUGUCAUACAGAUGCAGAAUUUAAUUACAUGCAGCUGUUUUUUUAAAGUUUUAUUAUUAUUAUUAUUAAUGCGUUUGCCCGCGACCCUAGUGUGGAUUAAGCGGUGUAUACAUAAUGGAUGGAUGGAUGGAUAAUGCGUUUGUUUUUAUCUUAUAUAUUAGAUGUUUCGAUGCAGGAUGAGCUUUAUCUGUGAUCUCAAGAAUUGGUGAUUAAAUUAUCAAAAAAUAAAGAGAAAAAAUGGAAAGUGACAUCAGAUGAAUGAAAAAAAGAAAUGUAAAUGCAUAAAACAUUAUUUUCAAUCGUGUAGAUUCAUGUUUAUUAAUUUUUGCUUUUAGCAGGCAUGGCAAUUUUCCGCCGUUCCGCGGAAAUCCGCCGUUUUAAUUUUCAAAUUGAUCGUUUCUGUGAAUCGUCCAAAUCCGUUCAGAAAAUUUUAGGGGAGGUGAGGUAUGUUUUUGUUACUCUUGCUCCCGGCUUUUGAGAAGCGCUCGGCGUUUCUCCCGCAGCGUAACAGACAAAAGCCGCGAUUCCACAAGCAUCUACUCGGCGCGGUACGGUUCGCCACUACUGUAUCUGACUCGGCUCGUCUCGGUUUAGUUGUUUUUCCAUAUAGCCUCAUCGUGGGUGGAGUCGUCAUAGCGCAGCGAGCCGAAAGUCCCUUAACGUCAUUUGCGUGCGACACAAACGCAACAUAACGGAGACGAUGGUUCACCUGCUGCUCGGUCUGUGGCUUUCUGUCAGAUUCAGAGUAAUAGAAGAGUCUUAGAAAGCUGAGAGCAGCGAGUCGAAACACUCAGGAGACACACAGGAGAGUUUGGGAGGCGAUGCAGCAGUAUCAAGCUGAAGACAAGAGGAUAUGAACGAGACGACAUAUGAGGAUGCUCUCUGAUGAGACUUCAUGGGAUUUACCUGAAGCAGCAGCACAUGAGCCUGCAGUGGCACAAGGUGUAGAGGAGGAGGACAGAGAUGUACAGGAUGCACUGAUGCACUACGUGUCAUGCAAAAGUUAAGUUAUUCUUCUUGUUAUACUUCCGUUUUUCUGUCCCCGGACCACUAUUGUUUUCUUUAAUGCAAUUCUGACAAUAAACUUUUGUACCUUU
Molecule: long non-coding RNA, 1331 nt
Organism: Amphiprion ocellaris (clown anemonefish)
Lineage: Eukaryota; Metazoa; Chordata; Actinopteri; Pomacentridae
Exons: 2
Source: RefSeq, a predicted model, not a curated record